GGCUGAGAGAUCAGCUGUUCCCUUCGGGGACAGAAUGACAGGUGGUGCAUGGUUGUCGUCAGCUCGUGUCGUGAGAUGUUGGGUUAAGUCCCGCAACGAGCGCAACCCUUAUGAUCAGUUGCCAGCAUUCAGUUGGGCACUCUGGUCAGACUGCCGGUGACAAACCGGAGGAAGGCGGGGAUGACGUCAGAUCAUCAUGCCCCUUAUGACCUGGGCUACACACGUGCUACAAUGGGUGGUACAACGAGCAGCGAGACCGCGAGGUCAAGCGAAUCUCUAAAAACCAUCCUCAGUUCGGAUUGCAGGCUGCAACUCGCCUGCAUGAAGCUGGAAUCGCUAGUAAUCGCGGAUCAGCACGCCGCGGUGAAUACGUUCCCGGGUCUUGUACACACCGA
This 395-nucleotide ribosomal RNA is filed under the name uncultured bacterium. Its description in RNAcentral is "bacterial SSU rRNA". It matches the Rfam family "Bacterial small subunit ribosomal RNA", at positions 997 to 1393 of the family's 1533-position model. The record is from RNAcentral.